UACGGAGGAUCCAAGCGUUAUCCGGAUUUAUUGGGUUUAAAGGGCGCGUAGGCGGGUAGUCAAGUCAGCGGUGAAAGCUUGCGGCUCAACCGUGAAAUUGCCGUUGAAACUGGUUACCUUGAGUGUAGAUGAGGUGGGUGGAAUUCGUGGUGUAGCGGUGAAAUGCUUAGAUAUCACGAGGAACUCCAGUGGCGUAGGCAGCUCACUGGACUACAACUGACGCUGAGGCGCGAAAGUGCGGGGAUCAAACAGG
RNAcentral lists this ribosomal RNA (253 nucleotides) under uncultured prokaryote. Its description in RNAcentral is "partial 16S ribosomal RNA". It matches the Rfam family "Bacterial small subunit ribosomal RNA", at positions 524 to 776 of the family's 1533-position model. The record is from RNAcentral.